Long non-coding RNA from Peromyscus leucopus (white-footed mouse), 2791 nucleotides. RefSeq lists it as uncharacterized. The record is from RefSeq and is a predicted model, not a curated record. The transcript has 3 exons. NCBI's taxonomy places the organism in Eukaryota, Metazoa, Chordata, Mammalia, Rodentia, Cricetidae.
AUCCUCCCUCCUCUCAGGUUGAUUUGCCUUCUAGAAGUUUCUUUCUGACCUUGGAGAAUCCACUGACACUCCCUCUUCUAUCUUCUCAGAUGUGAUGCCUAGGAUAGAAAUACGAAGAUUAGGCUAGUCUCUAAGGACACCUAUCAUGGGUUCUUGGUGCUCAAAGCAGGUGAAGAAGCACAUGACCUGUGUCCAGUCACAGUCUGCAUUCCCCAUGGCCCAUGGAGGAAAGAUGCCCUUCAAGCAAGUGUUUCUUCAAACACUGUCCUACCUAACCGAGCGCUCUGUCUGCCUGGGGAAAUGGCCGUCUGCAGGUCUGUCCAGAAGAGAAGGACCAGUCCAUCAGAAUAACACCAGAGGCUGCAAGGGGAGCAGUUGAAGCGAAGGAGAAUGGCCGGGUUUUGAGGCUCCCCUGAUCCUUGGGGCUCAGGAACUGUCCUCUGCCCAACCAAAUUCACCCGGCUGGCACUCUCUCAAAUCCGGCGGCCACUUCGAAGGAUGAGCCGGAUUGAUUAUGCUCCACACAGACCAACAGCCAACACGCUGUUCUGCUGUUUCGGGACUAGCUCAUAGGCCAGAUUCACCGUGUUCUUGGUUAGAAAACAGACCAGAUGCCCCCUUCUGAGUGACAGUGCACACCUCCGCGUCCCAGAACCUUCACCCGCAUCUCCUUCAGCAGCAUCUCCUCCCUAUCCUCCGGGACCUCGAAGGACAACGGAGCCGAGGGGGCAGCGCGUGACCUCGAGCGGAAGGGCCCCCGUCUGGGUCCUAAUGCGGGUGGCGUCUCUCUUGACAGGCAGCGUUUGGGGACAACAGCGGGGAAGGGAGAUAAGAUGACAUACCAGAGCAGAUUUGGUGUGUGCGCUGAUACUCCUGGCCCGACAGGAAACUUGGAGCUAUUUAAAAGACCCUAUCGAUUACUUUAUCUUCCCUGGAGGAAAGCUUCUUGCCGAGAGACAAAAGAUGUCCCUACCUAAAGAUACAAGGCCACACAGCAGAGGGUUUGCACAGGCGACGUGCAAGUAGAGCUCUGAGAGCGCAAAGAUGCGUUUACACGGGUCGGAAAAUGACUCUGGGUGUCCCACACAGCCAGGCUGGAGGUAGAAGGAUCGAGGGGCAGCGGGGCCACCUCACAGUCCCUGUAAGUUCUGCAAAAGUCCCCGCGCAUGUUGUGCACACUAACUGGUGUGCCUCUGAGUCCCACUCGUUCUCCUCCCAAGUUUACAGGCUCCUUUUAAGGGCUUGAAUGUCUGCAGCCGUCAUGUGCAUCCUGAAAGCGUGGCGUGUGACACUGCAUUCGUUUAGCGUCUCCAUCCCGCUUCUCGCCAACUCGCAGGCCGGCAGAAUGCUGCGGCGCACUCUCCGGUGCCCAGUUGCUGCUGAAGCCUGAAGUUCCGAGCCCCGCCUGCGGACGCUCAGGGUGGACACUGAUCGGACUCAACCGUCCGCAGUCAGGUCUUUUCCCGUGCGACACUUAGCCAUCUACCGGUUUAUAAUCCGCUCGGCCCGCGUGGGAGAAAGCGGCGUUUCCUGCGGGACACCAGCGUACUUUAAGAAUCUUAAGACACGACCUGUAAGGCAAGGACGAUGCAGAAGAGAAAGGGCUACGAUCCUAGGAAGCAUCGAACAUGUGGUGACCGGUCACUUACAUACAGCCUGAUUCCCGCCCACGGGAGACCCCCAGCAGUCCCUGAGGGAGGCGGAGGCUCCGGAGUUGCUGUCUGGGUUUCAACGGCAACAAGCCGGCACAAACUCUUCAACUCCGACCACAGCCCGCGGCGCCCUUGGAGCCCGGGUUCGCCGGCGGCGCUAGAAGUGAAAACCCACGCGUUUCCUGCAGCUACGAGUCCCUGAUCUGAGCGCUCAAGCCCAAGAAGUCUUCAGAGACGCCUCCGGGAGCUCCAAGCCGCCGCACUAGCCUGGGUUGGCUCUAAAAAGCACCGUUUUCUCCUCGCUGCAUCUUGAAUCACUGCCCCACUCCAAUGUCACCUGAUUUUUCAAAUUAUCACCUCCUGAGACGGGAUCCUGAGGGAUCUCCAGAGCCUCCACCGCUGCGUGCUGUUGAUGCUGUAGCAGUUUGCAGCGGUCAGGGCAGGUGGAAAACAGUGUUACAGGAGCUUGGAGCUGAGGAGAAAGAGGACUAAGAUAAGGAAAACCGCUGCAGAGGUCGGGAAGCGGCUCCCAUCAGAUCCAUCAAGUUGAAAUCACAGCGAGUGAGUGACCAAAGAGAAACUUCGCUUUGGAAAUAUCUCCGCCAAAUGCGCGAGAAAAAGUGCGCACAGAAAGAUACAACAAAUUUUGAGUGCCGGCAAAAAUAUAAAGGAGCCUGCAGAAUUUCGAAAAAAAAAAACAAAAACCGCACAUCCUACAAUUUGACACAUUUUCUAUAAGCAUACAAACGAAUAAAAUCUGCAGAGGAUGCACUGCUUCAAGUCUGUGGCAGACCCUGGACCGACUAGCCGGAAGGGUUCAUUAAAAAUGUCAGCGUUUUCUAUAUUACUCUGGCCUUCCACGAGCUUUUCCACGUGCGCAGACUCACGGGACAGUAUACUUACCACCCUGUUGAUUGUAUUCCAAUUAUCAUGUCUCAAUUAAAUGGAUCGCGGUCAACACUUGACCGGCAUACAAGGCCCCUGAGUCCAGUUCCCAGCACUGGACAGAAACAAGUCGACUUUAAAAAAUAAAAAAGCCUUGAAUGAGGCGACUGGCAUACUAAUUCCUCUCUUUUCACAUUUGUUGUUUGGUUUUUAAGAUGAGGUAACUAUUUUUAAAAUAAAGAUAGUCACCGGUC